UACGAGGGGUGCAAGCGUUGUUCGGAAUCACUGGGCGUAAAGGGAGCGUAGGCGGAAGUUCAAGCGGAUUGUACAAUCCCGGGGCCCAACCCCGGACCUGCAGUCCGAACUGGACUUCUUGGAUAGUUCAGGGGCAGGCGGAAUUCCUGGUGUAGCGGUGGAAUGCGUAGAGAUCAGGAAGAACACCGAUGGCGAAGGCAGCCUGCUGGGGACUCAUCGACGCUGAGGCUCGAAAGCGCGGGUAGCAAAC
RNAcentral lists this ribosomal RNA (250 nucleotides) under uncultured prokaryote. RNAcentral's name for it is "partial 16S ribosomal RNA". It matches the Rfam family "Bacterial small subunit ribosomal RNA", at positions 524 to 773 of the family's 1533-position model. The record is from RNAcentral.